Molecule: long non-coding RNA, 1424 nt
Organism: Monodelphis domestica (gray short-tailed opossum)
Lineage: Eukaryota; Metazoa; Chordata; Mammalia; Didelphimorphia; Didelphidae
Source: RefSeq, a predicted model, not a curated record
CCUAAGCAAAUAGAAAUAUAAAGAAACCAAAUUAUUAGGCACAUUUGUGGGGAAAUCUUUAUUUCUUAGGUGAUUCAUAAUUCUAAACUGCAAUCCUUUAUGUCUUUGAUCGUACUAGGUGAAAUCUGUACAUCACACCAUGAAAUUGCUUCUCUACUAGUUACUUUUAUUCUGAUAUUCACAGGAAACGUAAGGACGCCACAUGGUGACCUCUUUUCUUCUCAUAGAGAACUCUUUGUCCUUUAUGUAGCCUAAGUGAUUCUCAAGCAGAUGACCAUCUUCCAGGUGGAGGAUCAGUCCCUAAAUAAGGAGGACACUGGCAAGAAUCUUGUCAGUAAUUAUUAAGAGAGAUACACCUCUGUGAUUGUCACAAGGGAGCCUAUUUCCUUUUCCUUUAUAAAGGUGGAAAAUAGCGUCAUUCUUUUAUCUGGUGGGUGAUAACCUUUUCUUGCCAUAUAAACUGGAAUAUUCAACUUUUGAAUGAGAAGUGGACUCCCCACCUUAAAAAUCUCUGCUGGAACGAAACCAGCACCAAGCACUUUUCCAAAUGAGAGUGCCUACUGGCAUUCAAAAGCUCUUUUUCAGUUGAAAGUUAAGCUACUUCAAGCUGAGGAAGUCUAAUCCUAUGAAACGCAAAUGUCCCAGGCCAAAAAUGCAACUACUUUCAGCUUUUCUACAUAUUUCUCAGGCUCUUUUCCUCUAAAAGAUCAUCAACCCAAGAACCUGUAUAAGAAAGAGCAAUAAAAUGCAGUUUGAUGAAGCAAAGCCAAGAUGGAAGAGUAGAGAAAGCACUCAUCAGAGACAUCUCAACAUUCUCCUCCAAACAACUUUAAAAUAAUAUCUCAAAUUGAAUUCUAGAAUGGCAGAACAAACAAAAAGUUAAGAGUUCUUCUAGCCCAAGACAAUUGAAAAGCUCAAAAUGAGAAAUCUAUGAUAUGGGAGUGUAUUGAAAACCAGUUUUGAAACUAGGAUGGUGGUAUCAGAAGUAGCAGUAGCUUUGGGAACUCAGGUUAGAGAUGUUAAGGGAACCUGGAACCUGGUCAGAAAGACACUACAGUGGAUCCCUGUGCUAUCUCCAGAUAAUUUUUGAGAACUUCACUGUGUAUUCUAUUUCUGGGACAUAUUUCAAGGGCAGGAAGGGUCACAUUAGGUCAAGACAGAAUGGAAGUUUUUAGGGGUAGUAUUAUUUGAGGUUACAAAAGAACAAAGAACCUGAGGAUCAGUACCAAUUACAAUUCUAAGGAAUCAGCAGCCCUUCCUACGUAAGGACCAGAGUGCAAACCAUGAAAGCAGUGACUCUACCUCUCCCCAGAUCAUACCACUUUGGAAGCAUGAAAACUCCUUAAGCUCCCCAAUUAGUUUUUGGAAAGAAAGAAAGAAAGAAAGAAAGAAAGAAAGAAAGAAAGAAAGAAAGAAAGAAAGAA